UUCUAAACUAAUUGAAAUAUUUAUUUGAGGUAAGACUUUUAUGUCAAGUAACAGAGCUACAUAUAUUAUUCAUCAUAGAGACAAGAAAAUUCAGUACCAUACAAGUUGAUCAUCUAAAAAUGGAAGUAAAAAAAGGUACCAUACAAGUCAUAUGAAAUCAUGAUAUGAGAAAAUCUAAGCAAGAGAUAAUACUAAUGAUACUCUUGACUUAAGCAUGAGUAGAAUCAUCAUCAUCAUCAUCAUCUUUUUUCCUUGCUAAACAUUGUUUUCCCUGCUUUAACAAACUCUGUCAUUAUCUUAGCUUUGAUCUGUCCUCUUUUUGGAGGAACUCUAACACUAUUCUUAGUAACUAUUGAUUCAUCAUGUUCACUUGUUCUUUCCAUUGCAGUUCAAAUAAUGAAGGAGAGUAUUUUUUUUUUUGAGAAUAUGUAGCAGAACAAAAACAGUUAUGCCAAAUUAUGAGCGAAAGAAAG
Molecule: long non-coding RNA, 473 nt
Filed under: Lathyrus oleraceus (garden pea)
Lineage: Eukaryota; Viridiplantae; Streptophyta; Magnoliopsida; Fabales; Fabaceae
Description: Pisum sativum (pea) long non-coding RNA (PSAT_LNC042159)
Source: RNAcentral